This 409-nucleotide ribosomal RNA is filed under the name bacterium. Its description in RNAcentral is "partial 16S ribosomal RNA". It matches the Rfam family "Bacterial small subunit ribosomal RNA", at positions 355 to 776 of the family's 1533-position model. The record is from RNAcentral.
UGGGGAAUAUUGCACAAUGGGCGAAAGCCUGAUGCAGCGACGCCGCGUGAGGGAUGACGGCCUUCGGGUUGUAAACCUCUUUCAGUAGGGACGAAGCGCAAGUGACGGUACCUGCAGAAGAAGCCCCGGCUAACUACGUGCCAGCAGCCGCGGUAAUACGUAGGGUGCGAGCGUUGUCCGGAAUUACUGGGCGUAAAGAGCUCGUAGGCGGUUUGUCACGUCGUCUGUGAAAUCCUAGGGCUUAACCCUGGACGUGCAGGCGAUACGGGCUGACUUGAGUACUACAGGGGAGACUGGAAUUUCUGGUGUAGCGGUGGAAUGCACAGAUAUCAGGAAGAACACCGAUGGCGAAGGCAGGUCUCUGGGUAGUAACUGACGCUGAGGAGCGAAAGCAUGGGUAGCGAACAGG